UACGUAGGGUGCGAGCGUUAAUCGGAAUUGCUGGGCGUAAAGCGUGCGCAGGCGGCUUCGCAAGUCAGGCGUGAAAUCCCCGGGCUUAACCUGGGAAUGGCGUCUGAAACUACGGAGCUGGAGUGUGGCAGAGGGAGGUAGAAUUCCACGUGUAGCGGUGAAAUGCGUAGAUAUGUGGAGGAAUACCGAUGGCGAAGGCAGCCUCCUGGGCCAACACUGACGCUCAUGCACGAAAGCGUGGGGAGCAAACAGG
RNAcentral lists this ribosomal RNA (253 nucleotides) under uncultured bacterium. RNAcentral describes it as "partial 16S ribosomal RNA". It matches the Rfam family "Bacterial small subunit ribosomal RNA", at positions 524 to 776 of the family's 1533-position model. The record is from RNAcentral.